AUCGCUUCUCGGCCUUUUGGCUAAGAUCAAGUGUAGUAUCUGUUCUUAUCAGAUCUUCGAGAAUCAAAGAAAGAUGGCGAUGGCGUCGGCUAGUUUUA
Molecule: small nuclear RNA, 98 nt
Filed under: Oreochromis aureus
Lineage: Eukaryota; Metazoa; Chordata; Actinopteri; Cichliformes; Cichlidae
Description: U2 spliceosomal RNA
Rfam family: U2 spliceosomal RNA
About the family: U2 is a small nuclear RNA (snRNA) component of the spliceosome (involved in pre-mRNA splicing). Complementary binding between U2 snRNA (in an area lying towards the 5' end but 3' to hairpin I) and the branchpoint sequence (BPS) of the intron results the bulging out of an unpaired adenosine, on the BPS, which initiates a nucleophilic attack at the intronic 5' splice site, thus starting the first of two transesterification reactions that mediate splicing.
Source: Rfam by way of RNAcentral